Molecule: long non-coding RNA, 1102 nt
Filed under: Manihot esculenta (cassava)
Lineage: Eukaryota; Viridiplantae; Streptophyta; Magnoliopsida; Malpighiales; Euphorbiaceae
Description: long non-coding RNA (MESC_LNC005619)
Source: RNAcentral
CCUAUCAAAGGGUAGCCCUGUGCAAUCGGUCGGUUCGGUUCCGAACCGAACCGAACCGAUAAAACCGAAAACCGAUUUGCUGAAAUUUUUAAAACCGAAAAAACCGAUUCUGGAGGUAUAACCGAACCGAAUCGAACCGAUAAAAAUCGGUUCGGUUCGGUUCGGUUCGGUUAAAACCGAAAUUUUUUUUUUUUAAUUUUUUAUUUCUAAUUUGGAACCUGCCCAAGUGUUCCAUAACUCAGAACAUUCUUCUUCCUCUUCCUUGCUGUUUUUCCCUCUCGCAGACAAGAAAUCCCUAAAUCAUGUAAUCACUGCUUCCUGCAAAGUACCAACCCGCUUGAUUUUUUUUUGUGAAAAAAUCAGUAUUAUCCCAUACAAACAAAUUAAAUUGGUAAUGGCAAAGAUUAAAAGUAAACCCAGUAAACCCAUACCCAACCCAAGUCUAACAAAUUGAGGGGAAAAAAAGAGAGAAAACACAAGCAUCUGACUGAGCCACAGUACAAAAAAGAGGUUGAUGGUCAAGUACAAAAGAGAGAAAACACAAAUUGCGAAAAGCGGUAGUACAUCUGCUCUCAAGAGAUCAGUCCACGGUCGGCGGCGAAACUCACCAAAUCGACGGGAAAGAGGUUGAUGGUCGACGGUCAGCGGUCGGAGGUCGACGUGAAAGAGAAAGAGAGGCCAGGGGGAGGAAUCGGGAUUCGAGAGAGAGAAUAGGGGUUCGGGGGGGAAUCGGGUUCAGGAGAGGAGACUGCAGAGGAGAACGGGAUGAAUGAAGGGGUUCAGGGGUUGGGCUGCUGAAGCGUACGAUAGGCUGCUGAAGCGUACGAUAGGCAGAGGAGAACGGGAUGAAUGAAGGGGUUGGGCUGCUGAAGAAGCGUAUGAAUGAAGGGGUUCAUGGGUUCAGGGAUGAAUGAAGGGGUUGGGUUCGGUUUUUCGGUUUGAUCGGUUAUUUAACAUGUUUAAACCGAACCGAACCGAAAACCGAAUAAUUUUAAAUAUACUAACCGAACCAAACCGAUCAUACUGAUUAACCGAACCGAAAAACCGAAAUUAAUCGGUUCGGUUCGGUUUUUCGGUUUAAACCGAAAAACGCUCUCCCCUA